CCUACGGGUGGCAGCAGUGAGGAAUAUUGGUCAAUGGGCGAGAGCCUGAACCAGCCAAGUCGCGUGAAGGAUGACGGCCCUACGGGUUGUAAACUUCUUUUGUCAAGGAACAAUUGAGUCCACGUGUGGUCUUAGCGAGAGUACCUGAAGAAAAAGCAUCGGCUAACUCCGUGCCAGCAGCCGCGGUAAUACGUAGGGUGCAAGCGUUAUCCGGAUUUACUGGGUGUAAAGGGAGCGUAGACGGCAGUGUAAGUCUGGAGUGAAAGGCGGGGGCUCAACCCCCGGACUGCUCUGGAAACUGGACGGCUGGAGUGCAGGAGAGGUAAGUGGAAUUCCUAGUGUAGCGGUGAAAUGCGUAGAUAGUAGGAGGAACACCAGUGGCGAAGGCGGCUUACUGGACUGUAACUGACGUUGAGGCUCGAAAGCGUGGGGAGCAAACAGGAUUAGAUACCCGUGUAGUC
Molecule: ribosomal RNA, 461 nt
Filed under: uncultured bacterium
Lineage: Bacteria
Description: partial 16S ribosomal RNA
Rfam family: Bacterial small subunit ribosomal RNA
Source: RNAcentral